RNAcentral lists this ribosomal RNA (253 nucleotides) under uncultured bacterium. Its description in RNAcentral is "partial 16S ribosomal RNA". It matches the Rfam family "Bacterial small subunit ribosomal RNA", at positions 524 to 776 of the family's 1533-position model. The record is from RNAcentral.
UACAGAGGGUGCGAGCGUUAAUCGGAAUUACUGGGCGUAAAGGGUGCGUAGGUGGUUAAAUAAGUGACAUGUUAAAGUCCCGGGCUUAACCUGGGGAAGCCAUGUUAAACUGUUUAGCUAGAGUGUUGUAGAGGAAAGCGGAAUUUCCGGUGUAGCGGUGAAAUGCGUAGAUAUCGGAAGGAACACCAGUGGCGAAGGCGGCUUUCUGGACAAAUACUGACACUGAGGCACGAAAGCGUGGGGAGCAAACAGG